AUUUAAGGUGAUCUUUUACAGCGCUCUUUAAAAAGCGCUGUAAUAGGCUUUAAAAAAAAUAAAAUAAGGUGGUCUUUUACAGCACUCUUUAAAAAAGCGCUGUAAAAGACAUCCUUAUUUUAUUUUUUAAAAGCCUAUUACAACGUUUUUUUAAAGAGCGCCGUAAAAGACUUCCUUAUUUUUUUUUUAAAGAACGCUGUAAUAGGAUUUUGUAUAUAACAUUAAACCCUUAAGUUUUCUCUUCAUUACAUAAACUUCACUACGCUUCAGUGUCCUUCUCAUUGGCAACCCUACUGUCCCUACGAACCAUAUUGUUAACCAUCUCCAUUGCAAACCAUCUUUAUAUUUGUUACUAUCCCUACGAACAUUAUUACAUACCAUUUUCAUUGCGAACCCUACUCUGUCCUACGAACCGUUCGUAUUUCUGCGCAUUCUCGUUGUUCCUUCUUAAACGAAACCGUAACCCUACAAACCCUACGUAUUUUUUCGCACUCUUCAGUGUUUUACAAGUUUUCCGAGCUCAAAUGGGUGUUACAGUGUCGAAGCAAAAGUCAAAUAAAUCACAUGGAUUCCAAUAAAGUGCCCUCGUCAAACUAACAACAUAGACUGCGGAUCCUAUAUAUUGCGAUUCAUGAAGGAAAUUGUUGAUAUAAUCCUAGAAAGAGAUCUAACUGAAAUAAAGGAAUGCACCUAUUACAUCGCUUUUUUUUAAAAAGCGCUGUAAAACUUGUACAACAAGCAGCG
Long non-coding RNA from Cicer arietinum (chickpea), 744 nucleotides. RefSeq lists it as uncharacterized. The record is from RefSeq and is a predicted model, not a curated record. Lineage: Eukaryota; Viridiplantae; Streptophyta; Magnoliopsida; Fabales; Fabaceae.